UUGGUCGAUGGAUGCAGUGAUGCAUAAGAAGUUGACUAAUUAAAUAUCAAUUCAUUUUUUGCAACAAGCAAAUAACUAUAGAAAUUUGAUUAAUCGAACCAAAAGUAAAUGCCGCAUUAAGAUUUCCAGAAAAUACACAAAUCCGCAUAACUUUCAAAUUCACGAAAUACAAAUGAAGUCAUUGAUUCCAGAUAUUACAAAAACAAGACGUCGCAGAGUCACAGUAUCGAGUUUUUCGGUUCUCAAAAUAAGAAGGAAAAAAAAGAGUAGUUUCACAUUAGUUUACCGAGCACAAUCCCCACAACCAAUACAACCAACGUCAUCAACAGAAUGGCGGUAUGGAAUUGAAGGUAACCUCUAUGAGAAUUCAAGCCCAUGCUUUGGUUCACAACCUCAUCCAUCGGCUGGUGAGAAACUCUUAAAGGGGAACCUGCAGAAGUCGAUGACGUCUUGGAGUAGUAACCAUGAUAUUCGUCGUACCAAAAAAAAACCCUUGGUAUGGUUGUCUUCAAGUGGACAUUUAUAGUAAAAUCGCCUAGGAAAAUUGGCUCCAAGACCCACGCGCUUGUUUCUGUGACCACAGCUACAUGGACGAAUGUUUGUUGACAUCUCAGGCAUAGCUUCCAUGCUACGAAACACCACAACCCGAUAAACAUAGAUUCACACUUCACAUAACCAAAAGAAAGACAGUAAGCUACUGAAAUAGAAAUUUUAUUGAAAAAAGAAAAGUUCAAAACCCUUGAAAGCACAAGCGCAGACUAAGGGCCGAGCCUCCAAAACAACGAAACGGGAGGAGGCGGAAAGUCAACCUCAGAAGCUCCGACCGAACUAUUGCCCCUAGGAUAUCCAGCCUCCAAAAACCCGAACCAGAACCCAAAAGCAAAAGCAACGCCUGAGACAGCAGGGGCAGUGAAAGACAUAUGAGUGCGAGCCAGCAAGACUAAGAGAAGAAUUGACCGUCCUCGUAGAACGAGUCGCCGUCGUCCAGCAUAUCUCCCCAUCUCUUAGAAACAACAGCCGACAUAGCUCGAGCUGCGUCUGAAGAAGAAGAGCGAACCACAGAAUUGUGCAUAAGCGCUCCUCCAGACUCAGCAUUUGGCACUUUAUUCAAGAACUCCACCGGCAACGGAGUGUCAAGAACGGCGCCCUUAUUCCUGAGCCGACUUUUUAUACUGUCAAUCGGAUUCAGUGGAUCUUGCGGACGUUCCAUACCCUUUUUAGGUCGACCCGGUCGACGCUUAGGGUUGUCAACGAGCAUUUGCAUCCCCUGACUAACCUGCUCCUCUAAUUUGCUAAUACGACUAGCCAACUCCUCCUGAUUAGAAUGUGUAGGCUCAAUGACCAACCGAGAUGCAGAAUCAUCUACCAUGUCCAUGGACGGAACCACGGCACACUGUAUUAUGACCUCCUUAUGCUGCCCAAACUUCGCAACGUCCUGCAGUGUAGAACCCUCAGACCCGGUCGUGUCCUCCCUCUGUGAUCGCGUUGCCGAGCUUGCGGCCUCGCGAUCGUCUGCAAUGAUCUCCUCAUGCACGGAUCUGUCAGAAUCCUCCAUAACAAUCGUGUCCUCCUUGAAAGCUUGAGCAUCCGAAUUCUGAACCGGUUUCAUUGAGGACUUCAAAUCUGAUCCCGAAAGCAAGUCCUCUCUACGUGCUGCCAUAUUGUCUUUUUUCUCUAACUCCAUAUCCUCCAGCACCUCAAACCGAUUUCUGUUUUCCACAGAAUUCUUCCCAACAGUAACUUCACGUCUGGGCGAAGACUCCUCAUGAUUAUCCAGCUUAGCAGUACAAGGCACUGCAAUCGCGUGCUGUCGAGAACGGCUCCUAAUUUUCUUCCAUUGUCGAGAUCUAUUGCUAUGCUUCCUGCCCCGCAAACUAUUAUCCUGUACUUUCUGUUUAGUCGGAGAGGCAGGCUCUAUGCCCGAUUUCCUGCAUUCAUCAGUGGCAUGGCCAAUCGCAGAACAAAGACUACAGAAGUAUGGCAAAUUCUCAUAUCCAAACUCAAUUUCGUAAAUAUCAUCAUCACAUUUAACAUCAAUAAACUCAGGAAUUUCCAGGGCCACAUUCAUCUCAACUAACACCCUAGCAAAAUAACCAACUGAAGCCCUAGCAGACAUGUCAUCAACGAGAAUAGGAGUGCCAACAUGCCUAGCUAUACCAGAGAGAACUUCAGGAUGCCAAAACUCAUGUGGGAGAUUAAAGAUACGGACCCAAACCUGAGCAGUAGAAGAAACAAUCUUGUUCGGAUUGAAGUUGGGAGUCCAUGCCUGAAGAAAAAGGAUCCCCACACGAAGACGCCAAGCGGAUUUUGCAAAAGCCAAGGCAUAACCCUCAGGUGACGAGAACUUCAAAGUAAAAUAUCCCUUGCCUAGAGGGAUAACCUGCCAUGGAGACGACGUUUUCCAGAGGAUAGAGAGCUCAGUAAAAAGAUCAGCCGCAAAUCUCGGCGUAUCGCUUUUGCGAAGGAAAACCCUCCCAUGAAUGGCAUGCUGAAAGGCUUUGAUUUGUCGUUGACGGAAGGCUUAGUAGAUAGAAAGACACGGCCUGUCGCCCACCAUUGCGGGUUUCAGCACCGCAAAAUCAUGAGCAGGGACGUCUGCGAGACGCCCCGAAGAUUGCCUAAGAGUCUCGACAAGCGACUUCACGGGAGAAGUACCGGAUGAACAUCGGGCUUCUCCACCCCGGCCUGGCUCCAAAAGCAAAUACAGCUGCUCCGGCUGCCCCGAACGGAGAAGGCCGACGUCGCAGUAAGAGGAGGAAUGAUCCCGCGAAUACGAGGUAGUGACGGAGUCCGCGAACGGCGACAAAGAACUACCCACUGACGAAGAAGGCAUCGCCAUGCUGUUGUCACUCUGGCCUGCACCAGUUACCGUCAUAAGCGAAACAGCCUUGGGAACCCUCGUCUCCAAAAUCGACGUCGAGACAAGAACCUUGGCUGCGACAAACUCGGAAAGAGACGGAGGAGGGGGCGCGUCCAUGAUCGGAUCCUUAGACCCCACCGUGGGUGCAGCCGCCCUGGGACCAAGGCCGAACUAACAGCGCACCAAGGUUGCGCCGCCAGGCCCAUGGGCGAGGCCUUAGUUGCCGCCAUAAUAUUAUCAGACGCUGGAACUUUCGGGAACAGGGAGCAGUCACGGGAGAAGUUGAAGCCAAUAGGCAAAGCAUCGUCGGAAGAGAGAUCUGCAAGAGAGCAUGGAGCCGGAACCGGAUCAAAAGUUUUAGGGUUAAACAGCGGCGGCUGGAGGAAAACCCUAGGCAGAACGGUGGUGUGUAACGGAGGACAAUGGAUAAAGGGUACAAUUGAUACAAAAUUGAUAGUUCAAGAUUUAAAAAAUUAUUUUCAAUAGUUCAGGAUAUAAUUGAUAGUGCAAAAAUAGUUUGGGGUUUAAAGUGAUAUUUACCAUUUUAUUAUAUAUUAUUUAAACUUAUCAUAUGGAUAUACACAAGAAAUUCUAUAAGAUAUUUAUAUCAUGUAACACAUUGACAUAAAUUUAUAUUUUUAACAAUGAAGUUGUAUAAGUUUAGUUACUCUAGAAUACAAUUGCAAUCAUAUUUAAUUUUUUUCCCCCACUUUAUUAUCUUAAGAAAGUAUAUUUAUUAUGUUUAGUACAAUCAAUGUAACAUACCUUAUAAUAGUAAAUUGAUGGUUAUUUUAUAAAGAGACACUCUCCCGUGCAACUGGUUGCAGCGUGCAACUGAUUUUUGUAUGUUGAAGUAGUGUCGUUUUCCGAAUGAAGUAAUGUCAUUCUGGAAACCAGUUGCACGGUGCUUCAAGUGUCAUUUGUAUGUUGAAGUAGUAUCAUUCGUAAAUGUUCAAGUGUCAUUUUCUGAAUGAAAUAAUAUCAUUCAGGAAACCAGUUGCACGGUGCAACCGGUUGCACAUGAGUAUUUGUGUUUUAUAAAAUUGCAUAUACGAAUAAAAUAGUUAUUUUAUACUAUUCAUUAUACAUUGAAUUAUUUUAUUUUUAUACAAGAAUAAAAUAUUAAUAUUUGACGAUACAUUUAUAAAAAAGUUAUGUUAAUUUAUCUUUAAUAAUCCACGAAAGAGAGUUCAAAUAAGUGAAUUUAGUCGAAUGAUCUUUGUACACUAAUACACAAGAGUUUUGUACUUCCUAUGUCCCAUUAUUAAUGACACGUAUUCAAUUUUGGGUUGUCCCAACCUAAAUGACACGUUUCUAUUUUGGGAAAUAAUAAGGGCUCACUUAGGCCUUAAUUUAAUCACUAAUUACAUGCCUAAAAACAUUCCUAACCUAAUUAAAAUUCAUUUCCUACUUCAUCUCUCUCUCUCUCUCACCCCUACCAGCCGCCUCCUUUCUCCCUUCAAAAUUAUUGGCCACCACUAGUGUUGCCAAGGGCCGAUCGGAAUCGGCGGUUCGACCCUGAACCGGCCCGGUGGUCAACGGUUCCGACCCGGACCGUUGACCACCGGGCCGGUUCAGGGCCGAACCGCCAAUUCAUCCGGGCCGGUUAAGGUUCAAAGGGUUGCCAACCCUGAACCGCCGGUCCGGCCCGCCGGUUCUGCCCGGAACCGCCGCGCCCAGCGCGGGGGCCGAGGAGAGCUGCUGGGCUGGCUGAUAAUUUGAGGUAAGGGUAAGGGUAAGAGUAAAUUACUUUCUUCUAACAUUUUCACUAAACAUUUUAGGAGGGAACCCGCUCCUAAAGAUACGUAGGCCACUCAAUUUUAAUAUUUAUAUUAAAAUUGAGCUCAAGCCCUUAUUUUUUUUCCCCCCUGUUAGACAAUUCUCUUUCGGAAUUUAUUGUAAAUUUGUAAUGAAUUAGUUAUUUAGUUAGUGUUAGUUAGUUUACUUAUUCAAUUUUGAAGAUUGUACUUUGUAUCCUUAUAAUAUUUUUUGUGUACAUAGAAUAAAUUCAAUUUUUAUGCAUUAUUUUGAUUGUCAAUGUGUUAGAAUUAUUUUUCUUUUAUUGUAUUUCAAUUUUCAACACAAGUCAUUUAAUAAAAAAACAAGCACAAGCAUUACUUAAGAAUUAAGAUGACAUGAUAUUAAUUAAAAGAACACAAGUAUUACUUAAGAAUUAAGAUGACGUAACAAAAUAUUAUGUUAAAAAUAUAUUAAUUGUCAUGUUUAUAAAAUAUAAAUUUUCAACACAAGUUUAUAUUUUAUAUUGUAAGUUGAAUUAAAAUUUUGAAAUUUCAUCACAAAUCAUUUAAUUUCAUAAAAUAUAAAUUUUCAACACAAGUCAUUUAAUUUAAAAAUAUGACAUAGAAAAUAUUACAUAUUUAUAUUUUUGAUUUCAACACAUAUUUAUAUUUUAUAUUGUAAGUUGAAUUAAAAUUUUGAAAUUUCAUCACAAAUUCACAAUCAUUUAAUUUCAUAAAAUAUUAAUUUUCAACACUAGUCAUUUAAUUUUAAAAUAUGACAUAAAAUCUAAUUUAAUUGCAAAAAGGAAAAAAAUAUGACAUAAAUCAUUUAAUUUCAUCACAAUCAUUAAAUUUUCAACACAAGUCAUUUAUAUUAUAUAUUUUUAAGAUUUAAGUUGAAUUAGAAUUUUGAAAUUUCAUCACAAAUCAUUUAAUUUCAUAAAANNNNNNNNNNNNNNNNNNNNNNNNNNNNNNNNNNNNNNNNNNNNNNNNNNNNNNNNNNNNNNNNNNNNNNNNNNNNNNNNNNNNNNNNNNNNNNNNNNNNNNNNNNNNNNNNNNNNNNNNNNNNNNNNNNNNNNNNNNNNNNNNNNNNNNNNNNNNNNNNNNNNNNNNNNNNNNNNNNNNNNNNNNNNNNNNNNNNNNNNNNNNNNNNNNNNNNNNNNNNNNNNNNNNNNNNNNNNNNNNNNNNNNNNNNNNNNNNNNNNNNNNNNNNNNNNNNNNNNNNNNNNNNNNNNNNNNNNNNNNNNNNNNNNNNNNNNNNNNNNNNNNNNNNNCCUCGCGGAGAAGAAGCCUCCUUCCUUGAUUUGUUUGGUUUGUGGAUAUGUGGAUUCGAGAGGAGGCCGUGGAUUUGGGGAUGAAGGGAAGUAGGCAGUGCGUUUGAGGAUUUAGGGCUCCGAUUUGGGGCUCCACCACCUCCCACCGCCUUCGUGUUUCCAGAGCCUCCACAGCUUUCGCGUCUCCAGCGCCUCCACCGCUUGCCUUCGCAUCUCCACAGCCUCUGCGCCUUCGCGCCUCCGCCGCCUCAACCCGACUUCCACCCGCGCUGUCCACCGGCGUGUUGCCGCCUUCGCCACACCACUGCCCGCGUCGAUUUGUUGAUUUUAAUUUCAAUCGUGCUUGAAUUUUAAUUGUUGAUUUGGAAUCUUGCUUGGAAUUUGGUUGCUUUGAAAUCUUGGUUCUUGGAAUUGUCGAUUUGGAUCUGAAAUUCUGGAAAUUUGGUUCUUGGUCUGAAAUUUUGGGUUUAUUCUGGAUUUUUGUUUAUUCUGAAAUUUCAAUUUUAAUUCUGAAAUUUUGUUUGUUAAUUUGGUUCUAGAAUUCCAAGCAAGAGGCAUUUGUGUCGAUUUUGAAUUCGAUAUUGCUUGAAAUUUCGACCGCCCCUUGAAUUGUCGAUUUGUUUGUGAGCAAUCUUGCUUGAAUUUGUUGUAAUUAAUCACUAAUGUAAUACUGAUGACUAAUUUAUUUAGCAACUAAACCACAACUAACACGGUGUAAUUGUAGCAUAUAUGUAGCAACUCCAGUAUCGUAUCCUCAGGACUGACACAACGAAAUAACUCUAGCUAUCUUCUAAACAAACUAUAAUAGUAGACAGACAAACGAAUAUGAGGAAGGUUUAAUUAGAACUAAACUCAAACAACAGCAAAUAAAAUCACGUAGAAAAAUCAAAUAAUAAAGACAACUGAUCCUAGGGUAGUAAAUUCAUUAACUAAAUCCACAUAAUAAAUCUAUUAAUCCUAUUAACCAAUUUUGAUCCAGUUAUGAUGAGAGAUCACUUAAUUAAUCAAUUACUCUCGCUAGAGCAGCAACGAUCGUAGAUUAGUAAAUUCUCUAUCUCCGCUAGGUCUCAAGAAAAAUCACUAACUCCCAAAAGCGCAUAAGAAUAGCUCCCCAUGAUCCACCUACCUCCGUUAGGUCUCAAGGUUAAAAUCAUAUAUAUCAUAUAUUCCUGAAUCCGCUAAACAGUUAUCUCCGCUAGGUCUCAAACCGAAUAGCUAAACAUGCAAACUAGUGAUCAGAUAAUUCACAAGAUAUCAAGCACCAUGAAUUAUGAAUCAUAAACUGGAAGGUAAAUAUGUACUAAUAAAUAAAUCACAUGAAUCUAAUUAACUAUUUACAAACCUAGAAUCAGAAAAGAAAACUAGCCAGACAUAUUAAAGUAAAACAUAAACAUAAUUAAAAAGACAUCAAUUGAAAGAAAUGAAUUAAAUAAAACUGAAUGAAAAUCUUGAAUCUUCAAUCCUUGCAGAAUUCCGAUCCAAGCUCUAAAAACUGGAACGCAAUAAAAAUCUAAAGCUAUGAAACUGAAAAACUAAAGUUGGGAACCCUAGAUAGGUCAAAAGAGGACCUAUUUAAAAUGUCAGGAUAAAAUACAGUGUUUGAAACCCAGAAGAACUCCAAAAAUCAGAAAAUCCCGCACAAAAUCUCGAUUUGACGGUCAAACUCGGUGCCCGCCGACGUUGGGGCGUUCAAAACCAAUCAAAAACGGACGCCCGCCGAAUUGGUUCGCCGAUUUUCUUCUUUCGAAAUAGCCCAUUUUCUAGCGGUCAACGGAGUUUGACCGCUGAGUUUUGUACUGUUGCGCGCGAUGUUUUUGUUUCGGUUCAUAACUUUCUCAUCCAAGCUCCCAUUUAUGAUCCAUUUAUGGUCACAAAUUCGUAUCGAGACGAUCUAAAAAUUCUAUUUCAGAACAUUUUUUCAAAUUCGAACUAAAUAAUCCUGAAAAUUCCUUCAAAGUUCGAGUAAGAAUCAUGUUUCACAAGAUAAAACAAUUUAAACACAAACAAUCAUCCAACACUCAAUUUCCUCUAUAAUUAAUAUCAAAAGAACAUUAAAACCAUGGAAACUUGAGUGUUGUCAAAUACCUUUACCUCACCUCUAUACACUAAACUUGUUCUCCUUAAUCUCCAUGCCCAAAAGCAAUGUCCCAUAAAUAAUGGGACGGAGGGAGUAAUAUUUUUUAGAUGGGAAAUGGGAAUGGUGGGGAUUGAACCAUAAGCCUCUAUACUGCUUGGAUGUCCUCUUAUAAGUAUAUUCCCUCUGCCUCAUAAGAGUGUGCAUGAUUGUUAGUGGAAGAAUGGACUCAGUUUUAUUAGUGAAAGAAGGAGUCCAAAAAAGGAAAGUGCACACUCUUGUGGAAUAUCCCAAAAGAGAAAAUAGUACACACUCUUAUGGGACGGAGACUGACGGAGGGGUAUUUUUUUUACUAUUAAAAUAAAUAAUAUAUUGCCUACGUCAAGUGCCCCGGGCAUGGUAUGAUAAACUCAAAAACACUCUCUACUCUCUUGGCUUUAAGAGAUUUGUCUCUGAUCAUUCCCUCUUCUACAAACAUUCUAAUGGCGCACUUCUCCUCAUUCUCAUCUAUGUUGAUGAUAUACUCACCACCGAACAUAGUUCUUCUGAAGUUCUGAGUCUCAUUGAUCUACUGCACAACAAGUUUGCUCUCACUUCAUUGGGUUCAGUUCACUAUUUUUUGGGUAUAGAGGUUACUAAAUCCGGCCCCAGCUAUGCUCUGUGUCAAUCUAAGUAUUUCAAAGAACUACUAGAGAAAACUAUAUGAGCUCUUGUGUCAUCAUUGCUCCACUCCAAUGACACCAGCAACUCUGCUUUCCAAAAAAGGAGGUGAGCCGUUUUCUUAUCCCUCACUGUACAGAAGCACCAUUGGUGCUCUUCAGUAUCCUACUCACACCAGGCCGGAUAUUGCUUUUGCCGUUAAUAAGCUCAGUCAGUUCUUACAUCAUCCCACAACUCUGCACUGGACUGCUUGUAAGAGAGUCUUUCGGUAUCUCAAGGUUCUAGUUCCAUGGCUCUGCACUUUGCUCCAUUUUUCUCUACUCAACUUAUUGGAUUUGCAGAUGCAGAUUACAUUAGCUGCAUCGACGAUAGGCGCAACACGUGGUUUCUAGAAGCAGCACAAAAUACGAAUACCGGUCUUUAGCUUCUGCCACUGCCGAACUACUCUGGUUAGACUCUCUAUGUCUUGAGCUUCAUCUCCCAGUUACUUCUCCCCAUAAACUGUGGUGUGAUAACUCCAGCGCCGUAGCGUUAUCUUCAAAUCCUGUUUUCCACGCUCGGACAAAGCACAUAGAAGUCGAUGUGCACUUUAUUCGAGAAAAGGUACAAGACAAAUUUUUGGAAGUUGGGCACGACCCUGCGGUUGAUCAAAUUGCUAAUCUUUUCACCAAGCCUGUUACCAAGGCUCAUUUCUGUGCUCUUCGCAACCAACUUCAUCUGGAAUCUCCGCAUGAUCAUGGAUAGAUUCAAGAGUUUUUGGUGCAUGUUGAAGUAUAUUUUAGUUAGUUAAAUGAGUCAACAUUAGUUUGUUAAGUAGUUUUGCUGAGUCAGUUUCUUGUUAACUAGUUAGUUAGUUUAACCGUGUAAUCAUUAGCUAGUUGUUGUAUAAAUACAGCUCCUAUACAUGAAAAUAUCAUUAUUGAAAUCGAAUGAAAUCUCUUCACUCACAAAGGAUCUCUCUCUCUCUCUCACUUCUCAAAUCUCCUUCUUCUCUUUACAUUUGAUAGAGGCGAGCACUUAAGUUUUGCAGAAAGAAGGCAGAUGAAAGUUAUGGAGCAAGAAAAUAAUAAAUAAAAUUUUUAGAGGAGAUGAAGACGAUUGUGAGAUAACUUUUUUCAAAGAUGGAUUAAUGUAGAUACAAAAUCUCCUGUAGACCCGGGUGUACGGUACACCCGGCUCGUACCCGACCCGAAUAUAACCUAACUGGACUAUCUUACCCGAAUGUCAAGUGUUAGUGUCAUUUCGAUAUAGUGUUAGUGUCAUUUACAUGUAGUGUUAGUGUUAUUUAAAUAUAGUGUUAGUGUCAUUUCAAUAUAGUGUUAGUAUUAUUUUUGAAAUAGUGUCAUUUCUAAAACAAAAUAGUGUUAGUGUUAUUUUCGAAAUAGUGUCAUUUAUAAAACAAAAUAGUGUUAUUGUCAUUUCAAUAUCGUAUUAGUGUUAGUGUUAUUUUGUAUUAGUGUUAGUGUCAUUUUAAAAAAAAAUGAGUUAGAAUCCGGAUCGAGUACAACUUGAAUGUACAGGAGACGAGCUCUAAUGUAAAUCAUAAUUUGGAGAGAGAGAGAUAGAGAGAGUUUAUGCAAUUAUUCUCGUCUAGUUUGGGGGCAUUACAUUGGGUUGCUUAUGAGAAUUUUAAUCAUAAUUUGGAGAGAGAGAGAUAGAGAGAGUUUAUGCAAUUAUUCUCGUCUAGUUUGGGGGCAUUACAUUGGAUUGCUUAUGAGAAUUUUAUAUUUCCGUAUGUUGCUUUCUUUAAGGCAUUAAUUAGAAUUUAAUUAUGGGGCUACAAGAAUAAAAUAGUAUAUUUAUAAUUAUUUUUUAUUUUUAAAAAUAAGAAGUUAUAGUGGAUAAAAUAAAGGCCAUGUAUAUUAUCACAAUGAAACAAUAAAUCUAAGGGCUAAUUGCCUGUAAAUUCCUAACGUUUACACGGAAUUGGUUUUUGCACCUAUUUUUAAUUUUCUACUUGUAAAUACCUAACCUUUCGUUUUUGUCUCAAAUUUGUCCGGUCACCGGUUUUUUCUUACGCCGGCGUCGGAAAUGCCACUGUGGCAGCCGGAAUCGCUGAUUUGGCAGCCGGAAAUUGACACAUAGCCUAUUCAUUGACACGUGGCAAAUUUUUUUAAAAAAAAGUAAAAUCCCACCCCCCCACCGUCUUCUUCCUCUCCCCUCUGCCACCACCACACGCCGGCGCCACCACCACCAGCGUCGCCCCCUGCCGCCACCACCACCCUCUCCAUCCCAGAGCCGACCAAGGCAGCCGUGACGACCAAGGCAGCCGUGCUGGAGGCCGUCGCGGAGGCGCUGCGCCUCGGCCUCGUGGAGUCGCGCGACGCCGCCACUUCCCCCCACACAAUUCUGUGAAAUUUCAGAAAACUAGGGUUUGGGGGUGGGGAAGACGAUGGGUGGAUCUGGGCGCUCAAUUGAUGGAGGGGGCGGCGUCGCCGCCUCGUAGUGUUNGGCUAAUUGCCUGUAAAUUCCUAACGUUUACACGGAAUUGGUUUUCGCGCUUAUUUUUAUUUUUCUACUUUUAAAUACCUAACCUUUCGUUUUUGUCUCAAAUUUGUCCGAUCACCGGUUUUUUCUUACGCCGGCGUCGGAAAUGCCACUGUGGCAGCCGGAAUCGCUGAUUUGGCAGCCGAAAAUUGACACAUAGCCUAUUCAUUGACACGUGGCAAAAAAAUUAAAAAAAAAGUAAAAUCCCACCCCCCUCCCGUCUUCUUCCUCUCCCCCUGCCACCACCACAAGCCGGCGACCACCACCAGCGUCGCCCCCUGCCGUCACCACCACCCUCUCCAUCCCAGAGCCGACCAAAGGCAGCCGUGACGACCAAGGCAGCCGUGCUGGAGGCCGUCGCGGAGGCGCUGCGCCUCGGCCUCGUGGAGUCGCGCGACGUCGCCACUUCCCCCACACAAUUCCGUGAAAUUUCAGAAAACUAGGGUUUGGGGGUGGGAAGAGAAGGGGAAGACGAUGGGUGGAUCCAGGCACCUCAAUUGAUGGAGGUGGAAGACGAUGGGUGAAAAGAGAUCUGGGCGCCACCACCACCACCACCAGCACCAAAUUCGUUCAGUCCUUCCCACCACCAGCACCAAAUUCACAGCAAACAUCAAAUUCUGUCAUCAAAUCCUCCGAGCACGAAUGAAAUUGAGAAUGAGAAAAAAGGUCUCCACAAUUGGAGCGUUGAAGGUCGACGGGGAGGGCCGACGCGGGUUUGGAAAGUGGGAGGCGGAGGGGGAAGUGGCCGCGCCGAGGUGGGAAAGGGGGGAGGGCUGAUGCGGGUCUGAAAAGGGGGAGGGGGAAGGCGACACCACAAUUGGAGCGUUGAAGGUCGACGGGCACUGGUGGUGGCGGCGGUGGUGGAGGUGGCAGGGGGCGCGCCGGGUGGGGGAGGGGGGGAAGGGGGAAAAGACGAUGGGGGGAGGGGAGAAAUUUUCUUUUCUUUUCCACAUGUUUUUUUUUUUAUUUUAAUUUUUUCAUAUAUUUUUUCCACAUGUCACAAAAGUGACACCAUGUUAAUUUCCGGCUGCCACCUCAUCAGUUCCGGCAGCCACAGUGGCAUUUUCGGCGCCGGCAUAAGAAAAAACCGGUCACCGGAUAAAUUUGAGACAAAAACGAAAGGUUAGGUAUUUAAAAGUAGAAAAAUAAAAAUUGGUGCAAAAACCAAUUCCGUGUAAACGUUAGGGAUUUUACAGGCAAUUAGCCCUAAAUCUAAACAUUGUUAGAGCAUCCGCAUUGAGGGUUCCUUGAUAGCCUACUUGAUAACCUACUUGAUAGUGGUUGUGUUAUUGAGUAGGUAGUGCUGCAUUGGGGUUCCUUGAUAGCCUACUUGAUUUUUUUUUGUUUUUAAAGAGGAGAGAGAAAUUUUUAAAGAGGAGAAGAGAAUUAAAAAAAAAAGAAAAAAAAAAAGAAAAUCACUCGAGCAUACUCGAAAACUCGAGUAGCACUCGAGUAGCUCCUCCCUGCAUGCAACGCCUACUCAAGUGCAAUACUCGAGUUCGAGUAAGGCAUCGAGGAUGCCGUUGCCAAUGCUCUUAGGCUCACACAAAAGGUGUCAAUAUGCUAUUAUUUAAGCGAAAAUUAUAGCCGAUUUUUUUUUAUCAACAUUCAAGAUUUCGUAUAUACCUUUCCUAUUUCUCUAGAUGGCAAUAAAAUAAGUGGACAAAAUCUUGAAAAAUUCAAAUUAUGGAACUUUUGUCAAUCGAAUUUGCCUGAAAAGCACACACACUCAAAGAAGUGCCUUUGAGAAUUCUUGGUUACUUGUUGUGUUUGAUGAGAUGCAUUCUUGGAGUCGUCUCUAAUUUGUGGUUGCUCAUCCUUCAUCUUUUUGGCAUCAUCAUAUACCACACUAACUUCACAAUAUUCAGGUGCAUAUUUCUUGACAUAUUCGCCCUUCCCUACACCCUUCCUCGAUAACCUAAACCAGAUCACAAAUUAACAAUAAAUAAACUAGUCAUCCACAUUAAAAUACCCACUAUUGUAAUGGGAAUUAAUUAAUUUACCUUGAGAAGGGUGAUUGUUUAGUUCCCAUCACAAGAUGAGUGAUGUUAGCAACACCAAUGAGUUCCAAAAUGGCCUUGCCUGAUGCAUUGCUCUCUACUAGCAUUGUGUCUACACUUAUCUGCGCAAUAAAUUAAGUUUACCCACAAUUCUUGUUAAUUAAUACUAUGCCUUAUCUCUUUCAUUGAAAAUUUAUUGCAAGAACAGAGAAAGAUGAGAUUUUUUUUCUCUCCAUAUUUUAAUGUUCCUAAUUUUUUAUCCCAUGGUUUCUAAGGUGAAAGAAUAUAGAUAAUUAUUAUCAUAUCAAUACUCCACGAUAAUAUUAUCAUAAAAAAUUAAUAAAAAUAUAGUAUAUUUUUCUCUAUUUACAUCAAAGAGAACGCAGCCUUAUAUUGAUUUCUAUUUAUUUGUCACACAUAAUGUUACGAUCGUACACACCUUGGAGUCGUUGCAGAGUUGAAUGUACUUGUCCAAGAGGUGUUUCCUCUUGUUGCUUUCCUCCCUUAUAUAAACCUGCAGCUGAUCUUUGCUAAGCUGGCUUCUUGAUAGCCUCCCAACUGUCAUUAAUUCUUGAUUAGACUCGUUAAUUAUUGCAAUAAACUGCCAAAUUAAAUUCCUAACUAAUUAAACUGUCAAACAAGAAAAAUAAUGAUGAAGAGCGGACCUGGCGUGGGGACGUAGGUGAUCGGAGAGAAAACGUGGACGAGAAAAACACGACUCUCUGGCGAGACGACAUGAUCGAGAGCCCAUCUGAGCACGUGCAAAUCGUGCUUACCAACAGCAACAUAUACAUCACCACCAUCUCUGCUGGCGGCUGUGCUAUUACUCUCCUCCGCAAUCUCUACUAUCUCCGGCGACGACUUUGCUGCCAAAUUACGAUACUGCCCCUCCUCCAUAUGUAUCACUCUAAUUCACACAAAAGAGGAAAACAACAAGUAUGAGUGAUGAGGUUGUAAGAAAAGGGUCGUUGCUUUCAAAGCCAUGAAGGAGUAAAGAAAAUCACAAAAUAAAAAAGAGUUUGAUUUUUUUUUUAACUUUUUUUCAUGUCACAACUCACAACCUGUGUCGUGUGUGUGUGAGUGAUUGCAUAUACAGCAGAGACUUUGUGCUUUUCUUUUUGUCUAUGGCCACUUGUUUACAAAGUAUUUACCAUUUUGAGUUGACUUGGUGUGAGUGAGGAUUAUUUUUGGUGUUGUGUAGAUUUGCACUCUCAUUCUACUCUUUUUUUUCUUCUUCUUCUUACUUCUUCAUUUACUUGUAUUUGUUGUUCAAAUUAUAGCAUAAGCUAAAAUUUUCAACCAUAUAUCGAAUUAGAAAUACAAAUGUAUAAAAAACAUCAGAUAGCCAAGUGUUUGAAUAUACAUAAUUCAAUUAGAUGAUCAGCUUCAAUUGGCUAGAAAUUUUAACCCAGACUAUAAAUCGAACAACGAAAAUAAACACUCCCUCCAUCUUUAAAUAAAUAUCAUAAUCUAGAGUUUCUUUUUGUCUCCUUUUAAGUGUCAUAUUGUGAAAUUUUAGAGUAAAAUUGAAUUAAAUUUUCAAUUCUACUCAUAUCUUAAUAUUAGAAUUAAAUGCAUUCUCUUUAUUUGCUAUUCCACUUAAUAGAGAGAGAGAACUAAAAUUUGAAAUCUUAAAAUUAGAAAAUAUAAUUAAGGAUAUACAUGCAAAAUUAUACUCCUUAAUAUGUGUAAAUUUAUGUCAUAUGACACUUAUUUGAAGAUGAAGGGAGUACAUGCUAUAUUUAAAAUAAUUAUAAAUUUGAAUUAAAAAGCCAUCAUUAAUUUAAUGUAUGAGCUAUUUUGAUAAGAAUAACUUUUUUCUUUCAUUUCCUUUGGAUUAUUUAUACCACUAGAAACCCUUACAUAUAAUUGUUCCAAUUUUUUUCAUGCGAUUGAGUUAUAUAAUAUUUUGGGAUUUGAAGCCGAAAGUAACAUGAUUUAAUUAUUUAAUGUUAGUUAAGGAAGGGAUAAAGAUAAUGUAAGAAUCUUUUGAUAGUCGCCACUCGUGUCUGUUUCUUCAUGGCUCAUCGCUAUUCCACUUUUUUGUAGAGCCAUAAUUGGAAAGAUGGUUUCUUUACGUGGGUCUUCAUUUUCUCGAAUCAUAAUUAAUUAGAGUCCACAAAGAAUGAUACGUUAAUUUCAACAUUUGCCACUAGAAUAAGCUUACCAGCCAUGUAAUGAAGGGACUAUAUAUUCUACGUUUUGAAUUUUAAUUUUGUUUAAAACAAUUUUCGUACAAUUUGAUUUUGUAAUGAGGAUUGUUAUACAGUGAUUUGCACAAAAUAUCUAUAAGUUGAUGAUUUUAUAAUAAUAAAACAAUUCUUUUGUUUAGUAGGGUGCACGUGCUUAAGCCACCUUGAUCCUCUUGGGGCCAUCUAUAAUCUAUAAUGUAUAAUGUAAAAAGACAACUUUCAAUUUAAAAUCAAUUUAAUUUAAAAUUGAGUGGAAAUUUUGUAAUUAUAAUAAUAUUGAAGAUUAAUUUGUAAAUUAUAUUUUUCCUCUUUAUUUAUCUUCUUAUUUUUAUUUUUUUUUAAAUUGUGAAAUUCAGAAUAAUUAUAAAAUAUUUUAAUAUUCAUAUCAAAUUAAAGAUCAUCAUAAGAGCUUUAGUUUGAUGACGAUGAGGCCUAGCUCAUGUGACAAAGUUGAUACAUUUAAAGACUCUCCUUUAUGCAUAUGAGAGGUCUUGGGUUCAAUCAUACCUGCGUGCAGAUAGUUUUUCCACCUUUGUAUAGAUAGUGUUCCGCCUGCGUGCGGUUGUAUUUCCACAUUUGUGUGGUGUAGAGGUUUUGCCCGCGUACGAGUUGCUGAUUUGAUUAUAUAUUAGAUGUCUCUUGUAAUUUUUUUUAAAAGAGCUUUAAUUUGAUAUAUUUUAUGUAAAUAUUUCAUUUAAAAUGUAAAAUUUAUAUGAUUUAAAUAUUUAAAUUUUAAAAAAUUCUCCCUCUCCUCUCUCAUCCUUUUUUGAAUAAAUCUAUUUUUUAAUUCUUUUUUUUUUGUUUAUUUUUGCCUUUUCAUUAUAUCAAUUUUUAUUGUUGCAAUUUUUUUUUCAUAUUCUUCUCAAAUAUAUUCAGUUAAAAUUAUUUUUUUAUGAUAUUUAUAAAUAUAAUAAUUGAAUUGGUAUCAAUUUUAUAUAGAUAUUAAAAUAUAAAACAUUUUCCGUGCAUUGCACGGGGUGCAAAUACUAGUGUAAUGUAAUGUCAUAAGAUAUUAUAAUCAUCAUCAUUUGUAUCUUCCUUGUGCCUCAUUAUUAAAUUUAUUUUUUUAAUAAAAUUUAUUAAUUAAUUAUACAAAAAUUAUAAUGAACAGUAAUAAUCAUUUGUUAUUUAAAAAUUAUCCUAAUUAUGGAAUAAUUAACUCUAGUACAAUUAUUAGCUAAAAACAAAAGUUAAAUGCUUCAUAUUUUGUCCAGACAAAUUUUGUCCAAAUAGCAUUAUUGAUAAAUAUAUGUACCUAAUUAAAAGUGGAAUUGAGAAGCUCAACUGAUUUAUUAAAACUAGGAGUUCGAGUAAUAAUAGAGGGAAAUGAGAAUUAUUAUUGAUGAUAUGAAGUUUAUUAAAAGCGCAAUUUAGCAAACAACAAAUUUCGAGGCAUGCUCUAAACGAAUGAAGGUGGGCAAAAAGUUGGCACCCUUUAGCACAAGUUGACCACUUCUUGCGUAUGUAACAACAGCUCUUUAACUCCUUUCUUCUUUCUCUUCACAUGAAUGACUUUUUCCAAGAUUUGAACUCAUCAUCAAGAAUCUUUUAGACCAACUUCCAUACUCAAUUAUCUAUUAUCCCACUACACAAAAAGAUGCAUUUAUAUAAAACACACAUAUUCCAAGUAGUUCUAAAAUUUAGUUCUAACAAGAAACAAAUAGUUCUAACAAGAAACAAACUCAGAUUCUUCCCAAAAAACCAAACAAACUCAGAAAUGAAACUCUUAUUUUUCAAUUUUGAUGUGCGCUGGUGUAGAAAAAAGGUGUUUGUUCGUCGUAAUUUUCCUACAACAAGAAAAAAGAUUAGUGGGUAAGUUUGGACCAUAAUUCCACUACAAUGAUGUUGGACCAAUGAUCUCAAAAAGCUAGCUGAUUGAGAGGUAUGCAUAUAUAUAGCAAACUGCAUAUAAAAAUAAAUAAAAAAGUAUUAUUAUUUAUAUCAUCAUGCUCGCGUCACGGUGCCAAACGACACAGUGUGUGUUUUCAGUCGCCAUGAUCCAUUAUCUCCAGUCUUGAGGCAAAACACAGUCCAAAUUAGCAUAAUGUUUGAGAUGAAAAACUAAAGAAAAUGAUCACACAUAUCCCAUCACAUGAUAUCGGUGCGUUGCCAAUUAGCAGCAAUACAAAUCCCUCUGCAAAAUGGUGGGGAUACUCUUCAUUUGGAGUGAUCUUCAUUUCUUACACGAGCACUAUAUAAGGUCAAGCCGAAGCCUCGGAUUCUUGAAAACUAUAAGGAUUGAAGCAUGACUAGGUUGUCUCUUUUACUACUCAAGCUACUGCUGAUCUUGGUAUUUGCUGGUUGGGUGUCACUUUGGGUUCUUAAGCCGACUGAGUUCUGGACAAGGAAAUGGAAGGGCGCAGAGGCAAAAGCAUCAGCUACCGCGUUUGGCUAUAAUGGUACGUUUCCAACAACGUUUUCAAGGCCUAGCUCAUGUUGUGUCUAAGUCAAGAAUUGUGUUUUUUCUAUGAUCAAAUUUGCACAGGCCUAGAUUUUGUGGUCUUCACGUUCCCUCUAAUCGGUCUGUCUAUAAUCGGGUUCAUCUACUUGGAACUGAAACAUGACGAACCAAGAAACAGGUAUAUAACUCACCAGAAACAUCAAACUUUUUUUCUUCGAUGCUGCUACUACAUCUACAUAUGUAACUAGUUUGAUGCAGCCUAGGAAGGACUACUGCACUCACUUCUCUCUCUAGUCCACUGUUGGUGAAUCCAUACGUAGGUAUUCUAUCGGGGGCACAGAUCCUCACCUUGUCUCUGUUCAUCAUGCUCCUUGUCUGGACAUUCUAUGUUCGUGUUUCUAAUGACUUCAAGAAGAUGACGCCGCUCAAAUCAUUCAAACUUAGCACGUAAGCAUUCAAAUCACUCCGAUCAAAGAAGCAUUCGUGUUGUGUAUAAGAUUAUAAAUUCAUCGGUACCUGGUUUUCAGAUGGCAAUAUAAGCUGUUCAGGAUGGCCACGCGCUGUGGCUUGUUAUCAGAAGCCUGCCUAGCUCUGCUGCUUCUCCCCGUGCUACGAGGGAUGUCCAUAUUCCGGUGCCUUGGCAUCCAAUUCGAGGCCUCGAUCAAGUACCAUGUCUGGCUCGGUUCUGCAAUGAUAUUCUUCGCCACUUUACACGGUGGAGGCACCCUCUUCAUCUGGGGAAUCAAGCAUAGAAUCCAAGACGAGGUAACCAACAAUCACAAACAUUGUUCAAAGCUCAAACUCUUCAUACAUUGCAUACAACAGUUGACAGCAAUAAGUCGACGAAUUUACAGAUGUGGGAGUGGCAGAAGAAAGGUCGUAUAUACCUCGCAGGAGAGAUAGCUCUAGCAACAGCUUUUGUGAUGGCGAUCACAGCACUUCCACAGAUUAGGAGGAAAUGGUUUCAAAUUUUUUACUACACACAUCACCUUUACAUAUUCUUCAUUCUCUUCUUCCUCUUCCACGGUGGAGACCGCCAUUUCUACAUGGUGUUUCCCGGAGUCUUCCUCUUCGCCUUGGAUAAACUCCUCCGUGUGGUGCAGUCAAGGCCAGAGACGUGCAUUCUCUCUGCUCGAGUCUUCCCCUGCAAAGCCAUAGAACUCACCUUACCAAAGGAUCCAAGUUAGUCCUUCAUCACUUUAACCAUCAUUUUCAAGAAAGCAUAUAUAUCAUACUAGUCUUUAUAACUUGCUGCAGGGUUAAAAUACGAGCCAACCAGCGUCAUCUUCCUCAAGAUACCGAGCAUUUCCAAGCUCCAAUGGCAUCCAUUCAGCGUAACCUCCAGCUCAAGCGCAGACGAGCACAGUAUCUCAGUCAUUGUGAAGAGUGAGGGGCAAUGGACUAGCUCCCUGCACAGCAAGAUCAUUCAUGCUGAAAAGCAAGAUUCAGAAUCAGAUAAAAGGGAAUGCAUCCCAGUCGCAGUUGAAGGUCCAUACGGGCCUGCAUCUACGGAGUUUUUAAGGUAUAAAUGUGAUCAACUAGCAUGAUUAACUUCCUAAUUCUCAACUUUAUGUCCAUGUUUAUGAUGUUCAGGUACAAUAACUUACUCAUGGUUGCUGGAGGGAUAGGGGUGACACCGUUCCUGAGCAUCUUGCGCGAGAUAACCUGCAACGGCAGAAAUGCAUAUCCAGAUAGGAUACAUCUCAUAUACAGUAUAAAGAAGUCACAAGAUGUAUGCUUACUUGAUCCAAUACUCCCACAGCUGCUAGAUAUUGAACAAUUUCACACGAAACUCAAAGUAUUCGUCACUAGGGAAAACCAAAUCGGAGUGACACUAAGAGAAGUGUUCAACGACAUUCCCAAAGCAGAAAUAACGAAUUUUAGCACUGCAAACACCACUUAUGCAGUACAUGGGCCUGAAAGAUUGCUAUGGAUGGCUGCUGUCACAGUCAUUUCUUCAGUCAUGUUUCUCAUCUCACUCGUUAUUUUCAACCUUUUGUUAUCUCACCAGCCCAGAAACCAGCAGCAGCUCAGAAGAAAUCCUCAACACAGACUGAUCUCCUCCUUGUUUGCUCUUUCACCAUAGCAAUCAUAUCCGCGGCAAUAAUGGCUAUUGCCAUAAGGUGGAAGAGGGUAACGAUACUAACAAACGAGCUUCAGUUCUUCUCCAAUAAGCAAAGCAAAGCUGUGAAACAGAGCUCACUUGAAGCAAGUAGGGAUCUUGAUGAACAUGAGAUCCAUUUUGGAGGAAGACCAAUCUUUCAAGGUAGCAUGUCUUUAACACACUAUAUUUCCUUUCAACUACAGAGAUAGAUA
Molecule: long non-coding RNA, 20003 nt
Filed under: Salvia miltiorrhiza (redroot sage)
Lineage: Eukaryota; Viridiplantae; Streptophyta; Magnoliopsida; Lamiales; Lamiaceae
Description: long non-coding RNA (SMIL_LNC005102)
Source: RNAcentral